CCUACGGGCGGCAGCAGUGGGGAAUAUUGGACAAUGGGGGCAACCCUGAUCCAGCCAUGCCGCGUGUGUGAAGAAGGCCCUCGGGUUGUAAAGCACUUUCAGUGAGGAAGAACGCCUGGUGGUUAAUACCCAUCAGGAAAGACAUCACUCACAGAAGAAGCACCGGCUAACUCCGUGCCCAGCAGCCGCGGUAAUACGGAGGGUGCGAGCGUUAAUCGGAAUUACUGGGCGUAAAGCGCGCGUAGGUGGCUUGAUAAGCCGGUUGUGAAAGCCCCGGGCUCAACCUGGGAACGGCAUCCGGAACUGUCAAGCUAGAGUGCAGGAGAGGAAGGUAGAAUUCCCGGUGUAGCGGUGAAAUGCGUAGAGAUCGGGAGGAAUACCAGUGGCGAAGGCGGCCUUCUGGACUGACACUGACACUGAGGUGCGAAAGCGUGGGUAGCAAUCAGGAUUAGAUACCCUGGUAGUC
Molecule: ribosomal RNA, 466 nt
Filed under: Vreelandella stevensii
Lineage: Bacteria; Pseudomonadati; Pseudomonadota; Gammaproteobacteria; Oceanospirillales; Halomonadaceae
Description: partial 16S ribosomal RNA
Rfam family: Bacterial small subunit ribosomal RNA
Source: RNAcentral